RNAcentral lists this ribosomal RNA (465 nucleotides) under uncultured bacterium. Its description in RNAcentral is "partial 16S ribosomal RNA". It matches the Rfam family "Bacterial small subunit ribosomal RNA", at positions 28 to 507 of the family's 1533-position model. The record is from RNAcentral.
GACGAACGCUGGCGGCGUGCUUAACACAUGCAAGUCGUACGGUAAGGCCCUUUCUGGGGUACACACGUGGCGAACGGGUGAGUAACACGCGAGUAACCUGCCCACCCCUUAGGGAUAACGCAAGGAAACUGGCGCUAAUACUGGAUAUGUGCCACUGCUUCCUGGUGGGGGUUGGUAAGAUACGGCGGUUGUGGGUGGACUCGCGGCCUUUCAGCUUGUUGGUGGGGUAGGGGGCUACCAACGCGGCCACGGGUAGGCGGCCUGAGAGGGUGACCGGCCACAUUGGGACCUAGAUACGGCCCAGACGCCUAAGGGAGGCAGCAGGGGGGAAUAUUGCACAAUGGGCGCAAGCCUGAUGCAGCAACGCCGCGUGCGGGAUGACGGCCUUCGGGUUGUAAACCGCUUUCAGCAGGGACGAAGCUUUGUGUGACGGUACCUGCAGAAGAAGCACCGGCUAACUACGUG